Molecule: ribosomal RNA, 432 nt
Filed under: Salmonella enterica
Lineage: Bacteria; Pseudomonadati; Pseudomonadota; Gammaproteobacteria; Enterobacterales; Enterobacteriaceae
Also listed under: 1 other name
Description: bacterial SSU rRNA
Rfam family: Bacterial small subunit ribosomal RNA
Source: RNAcentral
UACGGAGGGUGCAAGCGUUAAUCGGAAUUACUGGGCGUAAAGCGCACGCAGGCGGUCUGUCAAGUCGGAUGUGAAAUCCCCGGGCUCAACCUGGGAACUGCAUUCGAAACUGGCAGGCUUGAGUCUUGUAGAGGGGGGUAGAAUUCCAGGUGUAGCGGUGAAAUGCGUAGAGAUCUGGAGGAAUACCGGUGGCGAAGGCGGCCCCCUGGACAAAGACUGACGCUCAGGUGCGAAAGCGUGGGGAGCAAACAGGAUUAGAUACCCUGGUAGUCCACGCCGUAAACGAUGUCUACUUGGAGGUUGUGCCCUUGAGGCGUGGCUUCCGGAGCUAACGCGUUAAGUAGACCGCCUGGGGAGUACGGCCGCAAGGUUAAAACUCAAAUGAAUUGACGGGGGCCCGCACAAGCGGUGGAGCAUGUGGUUUAAUUCGAU